AUUGAACGCUGGCGGCAUGCCUUACACAUGCAAGUCGAACGGCAGCACGGGUGCUUGCACCUGGUGGCGAGUGGCGAACGGGUGAGUAAUACAUCGGAACAUGUCCUGUAGUGGGGGAUAGCCCGGCGAAAGCCGGAUUAAUACCGCAUACGAUCUACGGAUGAAAGCGGGGGACCUUCGGGCCUCGCGCUAUAGGGUUGGCCGAUGGCUGAUUAGCUAGUUGGUGGGGUAAAGGCCUACCAAGGCGACGAUCAGUAGCUGGUCUGAGAGGACGACCAGCCACACUGGAACUGAGACACGGCCCAGACUCCUACGGGAGGCAGCAGUGGGAAAUUUUGGACAAUGGGCGAAAGCCGAUCCAGCAAUGCCGCGUGUGUGAAGAAGGCCUUCGGGUUGUAAAGCACUUUUGUCCGGAAAGAAAUCCUUGGCCCUAAUACGGUCGGGGGAUGACGGUACCGGAAGAAUAAGCACCGGCUAACUACGUG
This 485-nucleotide ribosomal RNA is filed under the name uncultured bacterium. RNAcentral describes it as "partial 16S ribosomal RNA". It matches the Rfam family "Bacterial small subunit ribosomal RNA", at positions 30 to 507 of the family's 1533-position model. The record is from RNAcentral.